Chelonia mydas (Green sea turtle) is the source of this 150-nucleotide long non-coding RNA. RefSeq lists it as uncharacterized. The transcript is spliced from 5 exons. NCBI's taxonomy places the organism in Eukaryota, Metazoa, Chordata, Testudines, Cheloniidae. The record is from RefSeq and is a predicted model, not a curated record.
CUGGGAGCGGGGUAGAGCAUGCAUAGGGUCACUUUAGGGUUGCCAACCCUCCAGGAUUGUCCUGGAGUCUCCAAGAAUUAAAGAUGAAUCUUUAAUUAAAGACUAUGUUGUGAUGAAACCACUAGGAAUACAUCCAACCCAAAUUGACAA